GUGCUCGGCCGGUCUUGCAGGCCCCGUCGGCCACCCGCGCCCUUGGUCCCGCCUCGGAGCCUCGGCCCCAGCUCCGGCCCCGACACGGGAGCUGCUCUUCCCUCGCGGAAGCGGUGCCGCCUGGCCCGCGGCAGCGCAGACGCCCUGCCUUGCCCUCAGGCUGGCCGGGCCGCCUGUGGCCGGAGAAAGCCCCAUUGUGGCCUGAGUGCGCCCCGCAGCCAGUCGGGAUUUCUCUCGCAGAGAGAGGCCUUUGUUCGCCUCACCCCAUCUGACUGCCCCGUGCUCUGUCCCAGCCUCAUUUGCUCCCCAAGCCCCAACCUGGGUUCCUGCUCUGGCAACAAGGAGCAGGCUGUUCCCGCCGCAGCAGAAUAUAAAGUGCUGAAGCCAGAACCCAGACUGGGACGCAAGGCCCAGAACCUGCGCAGGGGCCACCGGCAAUCGGCCACCAUGCCCCUGCCCUGCUGUGCCUCGACUUACCCAUCUGCUGCUGGGGAGCAGCCUGUGGGCCUGGAGUCUCCAGGAGCCACGGUCCCUGCAAGGAGCAGAAGCCUGGCGGAGAGAAAGAACCUCCAUGGGAGGUGGAGGACAAGUGAUGGGGACAGAGUACUGGCAGCAGGGAGUUCCUAUUCAGCAUCCUCAUAGCCAGUUCCUCUUAGCCCUUCCUUACCUCGCCCGUUAAUCCGGUUUGUGCCUAAGCUACUACAUGCUGGGUUUCUGUCACUUUCAAUUAAGAGGCUCCUCACCAAUACACAGAUCAUGUGGAAAAUCCCAGUAAAGGAAAACUGACAUUUGUCAGAUGCCCACUGUUAAAUGCUGUUUUUGAAAAAUAUGCAUUAUUGCCGGGAACAGUGGCUCACGCCUGUAAUCCCAACACUUUGGGAGGCUGAGGCAGGUGGAUCACCUGAGGUCAGGAGUUCAAGACCAGCCUGGCCAACAUGGUGAAACUCCAUCUCUACAAAAACACAAAAAUUAGCUGGGCAUGAUGGCCGGUUCCUGUAAUCCCAGCUACUCGGGAGGCUGAGGUGGGAGAAUUGCUUGAACCUGGGAGGUGGAGGUUGCAGUGAGCUGAGAUGGCACUAUUGCAUUCCAGCCUGGGCGACAGAGUGAGACUCUGUCUCAAAAAAAAAAAAAAAAAAAAAGCAUUAUUGACCACAGCAUCUCUGUGAGGCAAAUGGAAGAACCACUUUGCAGAUGAGGAAACACUUUUUUGUGUUUGGAGACACUAAGGGCCACAGUGUCCACUUGUGCAGGACUCCACAGGGUGGGCCAGCCUGCUUCUAGGCACGGAGUCAGUGGGCCUUGCCUGUCCUGAGACCCCUCAGCCAGACUCUACCCAUGAAGACCUUUGCUCUGUGUCUGGGUCCUUCCUGGAGGACUCUGGGCCUUCUGUGGUCUGAGUCUUGGAGCACUGUUAUAUUGCCGUGCUGUUCAGCUCUGGCAGUCACUCCAGUUGGAGGGUCUAUGCCCCUCUGUCCUUGUGCCCUUUUUUCCGCUUUCUUUAAAAAAUGUUUAAAAAUUAUUUUUUAUUUUAUUGUU
RNAcentral lists this long non-coding RNA (1536 nucleotides) under Homo sapiens (human). RNAcentral's name for it is "HSALNT0309481". Lineage: Eukaryota; Metazoa; Chordata; Mammalia; Primates; Hominidae. The record is from RNAcentral.